Molecule: long non-coding RNA, 1869 nt
Organism: Balaenoptera acutorostrata (minke whale)
Lineage: Eukaryota; Metazoa; Chordata; Mammalia; Artiodactyla; Balaenopteridae
Exons: 3
Source: RefSeq, a predicted model, not a curated record
AAAAUGCUCUGCCCUCCUUCCUGACUCAGAUGCUCCCAGACCUCAGACAAGCCCCUGGAAUUCCCCUUGGCAUGUUCUCACUGGAUGUUGUGUCAUCUCCUUCUGUGUGAGUCUCCCUCCCUCCAUGUGGAUCCACCAUGGGCAGGCAGAGCACACGAAGACCUACCACCCCCGGGAGAUGGAAGGUGUCAACGUCCGCUGGAUGAAGGACAGCCUGUUCUGUUGUGAGCUCUGUGACCUUGAUCAGGCGGCCCAACAUCUCUGAGCUCAAAUUCCUGCCUCCCAGGGGGGAGAAAGUUGUGAAGAUGAGAUGGCAAGAUGGCAAACAGUGACACAGCUUGACAGAGAGGAUGGACCCUGGCUCUGACACUGGCAAGCACCGAUCACUACCUGCCUAGUCCUGUGCUUCUUCGCCAAGUGUGUCCUGGCUUCCUCUUCUCCACCACCUGCACAGGAGUGCACCGCCACCCUGGAGAAGGACCAUACGGCCCGGCGCCGCCCCCCACAAGCCCUGGGCAGGGGUCUGUGACCCUCACCCCCUUUGGUGACCAGAUGUCCUCUGACCACACUGGACUGAGCACAGCAUGCUUUGGCCCUUUCUGCGUUGUCCUAGACAACCUGGUUCACUGCCAUGGCUUCAGUUACUACUGGGUGAGCCAAAAGGUGCGUUCGGUUUUUUUCCGUAAGGCGGCUCUAGUAGCACUUAGUUGUCUUUAACUUCAUUCGAAACAAUUUUGUUAGAUUGUAUGUGACAGCUGUCAUAUCAGUGUGCAUUAAAAAAAAAAAGACUUAUCAAAAUUGCUGAAUUUUUGUGUAGCCAUUUUAAUAUUGAAGAUGGAAGAGAAAAAGCAACAUUUUCAGCAUGUUAUGCUUUAUUAUUUCAAGAAACGUAAAAAUGCAACUGAAAUGCAAAAAAAGAUUUGUGCAGUUUAUGGAGAAGGGGCUGUGACUGAUCGAGCCUUGUCAAAAGUGGUUUGUGAAGCUUCGUGCUGGAGAUUUCUUCCUGGAUGAUACUCCACGGUUGGGUAAACCAGUUGAAGUUGACAGCGAUCAAAUCGAGACAUUAAUUGAGAACAAUCAACAUUCUACCACGUGGGAGACAGCCAACACACUCAAAAUAUCCAAAUCAAGUGUUGAAAAUCCUUUGCACCAGCUUGGUUAUGUUAAUUGCUUUGAUGUUUGGGUUCCACGUAAGUUAAGCGAAAAAAACCUUGUUGACCAUAUUUUCGCAUGUGAUUCUCUACUUAAAUGUAAUGAAAAUGUUCUGUUUUUAAAACAAAUUGUGACGGGCUAUGAAAAGUGGAUACUGUACAAUAAUGUGGAAUGGAAGAGACCAUGGGACAAGCGAAAUGGACCACCACCAACCACACCAAAGGUCGGUCUUCAGCCAAAGAAGGUGAUGUUGUGUAUAUGGUGGGAUUGGAAGGGAGUCCUCUAUUAUGAGCUCCUUCCGGAAAACCAAACGAUUCAUUCCAACAAGUACUGCUCCCAGUUAGACCAACUGAAAGCAGCACUCGACGAAAAGCGUCCAGAAUUAGUCAACAUAAAACGCAUAAUCUUCCAUCAGGAUAACGCAAGACCGCAUGUUUCUUUGAUGACCAGGCAAAACCUGUUACAGCUUGGCUGGGAAGUUCUGAUUCAUCCACCAUAUUCACCAGACAAUGCACCUUCGGAUUUCUAUUUAUUUCGGUCUUUACAAAAUUCUCUUAAUGGAAAAAAUUUCAAUUCCCUGAAAGACUGUAAAAGGCACCUGGAACAGUUCUUUGCUCAAAAAGAUAAAAAGUUUUGGGAAGAUGGAAUUAUGAAGUUGCCUGGAAAAUGGCAGAAGGUAGUGGAACAAAAGGGUGAAUACGUUGUUCAAUAAAGUUC